RNAcentral lists this long non-coding RNA (423 nucleotides) under Zostera marina. RNAcentral describes it as "long non-coding RNA (ZMAR_LNC002123)". The record is from RNAcentral. Lineage: Eukaryota; Viridiplantae; Streptophyta; Magnoliopsida; Alismatales; Zosteraceae.
UUAUGCUAAGCUUAAAACAUAUCUUUAAGGACCAUAUGCGUGUAUAUGCAUAAUAUUGUAACAUUUGCUAGGCAUGCAUACAUAGAUCUAUUUAGGCUUUAUUUGAGAUACAAAACACUCUAGGACAUGUGUUGAUCUCCAAUGAUUUGUUUUGCGGGAUCUGAGUUUCUGAGUUUCCUAUUUGAUGCCUGUUCAGAGAUGAUUAUUUUCUGAUCAUCUCUUUCUAUGGGAGUGUCAGAUGGUAUGACUUUAACUCCUCCUUCUUUUGUGCAGAGAUGGACUCAUUAAAGUCAACGUGUAGGAAUUCUAUCAAAUUUUUAUAGAAUAAGCAUUGCUUUUUCUAUGUCCUAUGGCAAUGAUAACUCCCUCAGAGUUAGUGAUAAAACAAUUGUAUUUUUAAAUUUUACUACAUUACCCCUACCU